AUUGAACGCUGGCGGCAUGCCUUACACAUGCAAGUCGAACGGCAGCACGGGAGCAAUCCUGGUGGCGAGUGGCGAACGGGUGAGUAAUAUAUCGGAACGUGCCCAGUCGUGGGGGAUAACGUAGCGAAAGCUACGCUAAUACCGCAUACGCCCCGAGGGGGAGAGCAGGGGAUCGCAAGACCUUGCGUUAUUCGAGCGGCCGACGUCUGAUUAGCUAGUUGGUGAGGUAAUGGCUCACCAAGGCGACGAUCAGUAGCGGGUCUGAGAGGAUGAUCCGCCACACUGGGACUGAGACACGGCCCAGACUCCUACGGGAGGCAGCAGUGGGGAAUUUUGGACAAUGGGGGCAACCCUGAUCCAGCCAUUCCGCGUGAGUGAAGAAGGCCUUCGGGUUGUAAAGCUCUUUCAGCUGGAACGAAACGGUACGCUCUAACAUAGCGUGCUAAUGACGGUACCAGCAGAAGAAGCACCGGCUAACUACGUG
Molecule: ribosomal RNA, 484 nt
Filed under: uncultured bacterium
Lineage: Bacteria
Description: bacterial SSU rRNA
Rfam family: Bacterial small subunit ribosomal RNA
Source: RNAcentral